CCUACGGGUGGCUGCAGUGGGGAAUAUUGCACAAUGGGCGCAAGCCUGAUGCAGCCAUGCCGCGUGUGUGAAGAAGGCCUUCGGGUUGUAAAGCACUUUCAGCGGGGAGGAAGGCGGUGAGGUUAAUCACCCCAUCGAUUGACGUUACCCGCAGAAGAAGCACCGGCUAACUCCGUGCCAGCAGCCGCGGCAAUACGGAGGGUGCAAGCGUUAAUCGGAAUUACUGGGCGUAAAGCGCACGCAGGCGGUCUGUCAAGUCGGAUGUGAAAUCCCCGGGCUCAACCUGGGAACUGCAUUCGAAACUGGCAGGCUAGAGUCUUGUAGAGGAGGGUAGAAUUCCAGGUGUAGCGGUGAAAUGCGUAGAGAUCUGGAGGAAUACCGGUGGCGAAGGCGGCCCCCUGGACAAAGACUGACGCUCAGGUGCGAAAGCGUGGGGAGCAAACAGGAUUAGAUACCCUUGUAGUC
RNAcentral lists this ribosomal RNA (465 nucleotides) under uncultured Klebsiella sp. Its description in RNAcentral is "bacterial SSU rRNA". It matches the Rfam family "Bacterial small subunit ribosomal RNA", at positions 338 to 795 of the family's 1533-position model. Lineage: Bacteria; Pseudomonadati; Pseudomonadota; Gammaproteobacteria; Enterobacterales; Enterobacteriaceae. The record is from RNAcentral.